GGUUUUGAUUAGCAGUGGCCUCCUUUCUUUUAGGGUACCCAAGGGGCUCUGUGCCUCACCUACUUCCAGGAUGAUGCAUAGCUCAGGAGGAGCCCAGAAUAAGAUGAAGACUUGCCACUCAGGGAGCUUAAGAACAUAUGAGCGCUAUUCUCCCUCCCCCUGCUGGUACAGUAUCAAGAGUAACAACAGCUGAGAUUUACUGAGUACUGACAAGCCUCAGGUGCUGUGCUAAGAGAGUCUCUGGGACAAUGGAGAAUGCACGAGUAGAGAAGACACAAGCCAUAUAUGUGUUUACCGUUUCUUGCUGCCCCAUUGGUUUGGCAGUACCCCAAGAGCACAGAAUUCCAGUGGGAGCCCAGUAAGAUGCAAAGCAAGUCAAAGCUCUCUGCUUUCAGCAGUGUGGUCCUGGUGAAGGGUGGAACACAGUGCAGAUAUCGAUC
Molecule: long non-coding RNA, 440 nt
Organism: Orcinus orca (killer whale)
Lineage: Eukaryota; Metazoa; Chordata; Mammalia; Artiodactyla; Delphinidae
Exons: 3
Source: RefSeq, a predicted model, not a curated record